RNAcentral lists this transfer RNA (77 nucleotides) under Intrasporangium calvum. RNAcentral describes it as "tRNA-Ile". It matches the Rfam family "tRNA". From Rfam's summary of the family: Transfer RNA (tRNA) molecules are approximately 80 nucleotides in length. Their secondary structure includes four short double-helical elements and three loops (D, anti-codon, and T loops). The record is from RNAcentral. RNAcentral also lists the same sequence under 4 other names. Lineage: Bacteria; Bacillati; Actinomycetota; Actinomycetes; Micrococcales; Intrasporangiaceae.
GGGGCAGUAGCUCAGCCGGUUAGAGCAGCGGACUCAUAAUCCGUCGGUCCAGGGUUCAAGCCCCUGCUGCCCCACCA